GACGAACGCUGGCGGCGUGCUUAACACAUGCAAGUCGAACGGAAAGGCCCUGCUUUUGUGUGGUGCUCGAGUGGCGAACGGGUGAGUAACACGUGAGUAACCUGCCCUUGACUUUGGGAUAACUUCAGGAAACUGGGGCUAAUACCGGAUAGGAGCUCCUGCUGCAUGGUGGGGGUUGGAAAGUUUGGGCGGUUGGGGAUGGACUCGCGGCUUAUCAGCUUGUUGGUGGGGUAGUGGCUUACCAAGGCUUUGACGGGUAGCCGGCCUGAGAGGGUGACCGGCCACAUUGGGACUGAGAUACGGCCCAGACUCCUACGGGAGGCAGCAGUGGGGAAUAUUGCACAAUGGGCGGAAGCCUGAUGCAGCAACGCCGCGUGCGGGAUGACGGCCUUCGGGUUGUAAACCGCUUUCGCCUGUGACGAAGCGUGAGUGACGGUAAUGGGUAAAGAAGCACCGGCUAACUACGUG
RNAcentral lists this ribosomal RNA (468 nucleotides) under uncultured bacterium. RNAcentral describes it as "partial 16S ribosomal RNA". It matches the Rfam family "Bacterial small subunit ribosomal RNA", at positions 28 to 507 of the family's 1533-position model. The record is from RNAcentral.